GAUGAACGCUGGCGGCGUGCUUAACACAUGCAAGUCGAACGAUGAAGCCCAGCUUGCUGGGUGGAUUAGUGGCGAACGGGUGAGUAACACGUGAGUAACCUGCCCUUAACUCUGGGAUAAGCCUGGGAAACUGGGUCUAAUACCGGAUAGGAGCGUCCACCGCAUGGUGGGUGUUGGAAAGAUUUAUCGGUUUUGGAUGGACUCGCGGCCUAUCAGCUUGUUGGUGAGGUAAUGGCUCACCAAGGCGACGACGGGUAGCCGGCCUGGGAGGGGGACCGGCCACACUGGGACUGAGACACGGCCCAGACUCCUACGGGAGGCAGCAGGGGGGAGUAUUGCACAAUGGGCGCGAGCGUGAUGCAGCGGCGCCGCGUGAGGGAUGACGGCCUUCGGGUUGUAAACCUCUUUCAGUAGGGAAGAAGCGAAAGUGACGGUACCUGCAGAAGAAGCACCGGCUAACUACGUG
Molecule: ribosomal RNA, 466 nt
Filed under: uncultured bacterium
Lineage: Bacteria
Description: partial 16S ribosomal RNA
Rfam family: Bacterial small subunit ribosomal RNA
Source: RNAcentral